RNAcentral lists this ribosomal RNA (499 nucleotides) under uncultured soil bacterium. Its description in RNAcentral is "bacterial SSU rRNA". It matches the Rfam family "Bacterial small subunit ribosomal RNA", at positions 26 to 517 of the family's 1533-position model. The record is from RNAcentral.
AGAUUGAACGCUGGCGGCAUGCCUUACACAUGCAAGUCGAACGGCAGCACGGGGGCAACCCUGGUGGCGAGUGGCGAACGGGUGAGUAAUGCAUCGGAACGUGCCCAGUAGUGGGGGAUAACUAGUCGAAAGAUUAGCUAAUACCGCAUACGACCUAUGGGUGAAAGCGGGGGAUUCGCAAGAACCUCGCGCUGUCGGAGCGGCCGAUGUCUGAUUAGCUAGUUGGCGGGUAAAAGCCCACCAAGGCUUCGAUCAGUAGCUGGUCUGAGAGGACGACCAGCCACACUGGGACUGAGACACGGCCCAGACUCCUACGGGAGGCAGCAGUGGGGAAUUUUGGACAAUGGGCGCAAGCCUGAUCCAGCCAUGCCGCGUGCGGGAAGAAGGCCUUCGGGUUGUAAACCGCUUUUGGCAGGAACGAAACGGCGCGAGCGAAUAUCUCGCGUUAAUGACGGUACCGUGCAGAAUAAGCACCGGCUAACUACGUGCCAGCAGCCCG